RNAcentral lists this small nucleolar RNA (129 nucleotides) under Jaculus jaculus (lesser Egyptian jerboa). The record is from RNAcentral. Lineage: Eukaryota; Metazoa; Chordata; Mammalia; Rodentia; Dipodidae.
AUGCAAAUUUCACUGCCUUUUUUCUACAUAUCAACAGAAAAGAUAAUUCCUAUGUGCUAGACAAAACUUUAGAGGUAAAUUACCAGCAAGACCAAUUUUACUAUUGCUGCUAGUCACCUUGACAUACAU